CGCAUCUGUGCAUGCAGUAUAUCAAUAAGCGGAGGAAAAGAAACUAACAAGGAUUCCCUUAGUAACGGCGAGUGAAGCGGGAAGAGCUCAAAUUUGAAAUCUUCAAGGUUUUACCUUGACGAAUUGUAGUUUAAAGAAGUGUUUUCUGUUGAAGUUUUGGUAAAAGUUCUUUGGAAUAGGACAUCAUAGAGGGUGAGAAUCCCGUACUUGACCAUUAUUUUCAGCUGUGUGAUACACUUUCAAAGAGUCGGAUUGUUUGGGAAUGCAGUCCAAAAUGGGUGGUAAAUUUCAUCUAAAGCUAAAUAUUGGCGAGAGACCGAUAGCGAACAAGUACCGUGAGGGAAAGAUGAAAAGAACUUUGAAAAGAGAGUUAAACAGUACGUGAAAUUGUCAAAAGGGAAGCGUUUGACACCAGUGUUGUUUUCUCGAAAAUCAAUUAAAAAGAGUUUAGAUUUUGUUGUGUAUUGACCUUAACAGCUUGCAUUUCAAUUUUCUUGCUUUUUUUAAUGCACUUUUCGUUUAACAAGUCAACAUCAGUUUCUUUUGUUGUAAUAAGGUCAUUGGAAGGUGGCUUUCUUUUCGGAGAAAGUGUUUAUAGCCUUUGACUCCUGCAAUCGGAGAGACUGAGGUCUGCAGCGUAGAUCCUUCGGGGUUAGAUACAUUUGUGCUAAGUUAUAGCUUUUUAUAGACAACUUGUUGACUAUGAUUAGUCUUGUAGCUUACUCGCUUAUGCUAUUUUACCUACGCUUAGGAUGUUGACACACGCGCGUGCUCGAGUCUAUACAUGACUCUGCGCAUAUCAAUAAGCGGAGGAAAAGAGGGCUAAUACCUACGCUUAGGAUGUUGAACUCUAUCACACACAG
Molecule: ribosomal RNA, 863 nt
Filed under: uncultured Neocallimastigales
Lineage: Eukaryota; Fungi; Neocallimastigomycota; Neocallimastigomycetes; Neocallimastigales
Description: partial large subunit ribosomal RNA
Rfam family: Eukaryotic large subunit ribosomal RNA
Source: RNAcentral